RNAcentral lists this unclassified non-coding RNA (276 nucleotides) under sea anemone metagenome. RNAcentral describes it as "partial contains small subunit ribosomal RNA and internal transcribed spacer 1". The stretch from base 1 to 154 matches the Rfam family "Eukaryotic small subunit ribosomal RNA", at positions 1678 to 1831 of the family's 1831-position model. The record is from RNAcentral.
GCACCUACCGAUUGAAUGGUUCGGUGAAAAUCUCGGACUGCGGCUUGGAUGCCUUCGGGCAACCAAGCUGUGGAAAGUUGUUUAAACCUCAUCAUUGAGAGGAAGGUGAAGUCGUAACAAGGUUUCCGUAGGUGAACCUGCAGAAGGAUCAACAGCGGAGCCAACAACAUCAGAACUCCAGUCACGUGGCCCAACACAGCAUACCGUCUCACGCUUCAAAAAAAAAAGACAACACACACAUAAGAAACGACAACGCACACCAAGCACUGUAGCAAA